UACUUAUUUGCUCCAUCAUUAUUUUAAUAAAUUAUGAUGCAAUUGAUUCAGACUUGAUUGAAUUUCUUAAAUGACAACAAGGAUAUUUCUAUAUUUUCUUUUGAAACUCUAGAUAUGCAUUUCUUAUUUCUCCCUCUCUCUCUCUCUCUAUCUAUCUAUAUUUUUUUUUAUUUAUCUUUAAAGCAGGUUAUUGCAGCUUUAAGAGUUGAUGCAUUCGUUAUAUUUGAACAUUAUGUUACAUAUAUUUUUUUUAAACAAUUAACUUUUUCAUAUACUUGCCAUAUGUUGUAACUCCUACUAAACUAAUUUGUCACUUCGACUGCUUAUGCGUUUAGUCAAUUAAAUUUUUUUUAUUACAAGUACAUAACAAUAUGCUUAUCUUAAACAUAAUAUAAUUGUAAUAUGCAACUGUAUGCUUACAAUAGCAUGUUUUCCUUCAUGGUACCUACAUGUUGAGUCUCUCUUCUCUAUUUAGUUAAUAAAUUCAAUUUUUUUAAAAAUUAGUUAAAAAGAUCUUUCAAAUGCUAAUGCAUUACUUACUAUAUAAUGCUUAUUUUGUUGCACGGUACUUAGAAGUUUUUUUGUUAAGAACUUAGAAAUUUCAAAAUUUUUUUGUAGGCUCUAUUGUUUAUAGGCUCGUAGUAUAAUCUUAUAAAUAUCUUAAGUUCAAACUUAAUUCGCUUUAAUUUUUCUUUUAUUAUUCUUCUUUAGAGUUACGCUUAUUAUAUCCCAGGAACCAUUUUGAGACAGCCUUCUUUGAAUUUGUUUCUUUCCCUAUAAAUUCUUUUUUUAGAAGAUUAUUUAAACAUCUAUUCUCACUAUCUGACUAAUUUCCAUUGACUUAAUUUUUCAUUUCCUUUUCUCUUACCUUUUCCAUUGACUUGGCAUUCAAUUAAUUCUAUGAAUCAUAUUUAUGUAUGCAUUUCUGAUUAUUAUUUAUACUUUUCUUCAUAUAAAUUACAUAAAAUGGUUGUGUUUUUCGAAAUGGAUCGCUCGUUUGGAAUCCUGGCUUUGAUUUUGAUGAGAAGGUUUUAGGCUUUAUUAAAGGACUUUAGGCGUGUUUUUUAUCUUGGUAAGAUAGUUCCUAUAUAGUAAAGAACCACUUUUUGUCUACCAUAAAAUUGGCGUUAAUCUUUCUCACAGCAUUCAUAGACUGCACAGGUACAUCUGAACAUCCAACAACAUUCCUCACGUUAGAGCCCAAAGGAGCAAUUUCUGUCAUUUAAAUUUCAGUAUUUGGAUAGAAGGGAGUGCGAUUAUGAGAAGAAACUAUUGGUCAACUUUUACAAUGUUACUAAGAGUUCAGUUGCUGGCUCCUGCACAUAGGUUCUAAAGAACACUGCUUUUCAGUUUACAAAAUCAUCCUUUAUUUCUGAUGCCUCUUUGUGUUUUCUUCCACAUAAAGGAGAAAGUCCUAAGCCAUAUGUGAUUGAUGUACUAUUAUUCAUUUCCACUACAGAUGUAAUAGCUAUAUAUGAUCUUUGACCCGCUCCCUUGGAGGAAAUGACAAGGUUGGACUGUCAUCCCACCCAGGGAAUAAGUAAGUACUCAUGCCCUGUAGCUAAAUGUGGGAUCCUGUCACUUGGCAACACAUCUGUUUCAGCUUGUGAGACUUCUAUCUGUUCCUAUGAUGGCUACACAGCUAGCAGCAUUCUUACUUUACUCACCAACCAAUCUACAUGCAAUGGAACCAACGUCCCUUGGGACUGGGAUCGGAAUCAUCGCAAAACAAUGGCUCAGCUUUUAGGCUUGGAGUUG
Dendrobium catenatum is the source of this 1758-nucleotide long non-coding RNA. RefSeq lists it as uncharacterized. NCBI's taxonomy places the organism in Eukaryota, Viridiplantae, Streptophyta, Magnoliopsida, Asparagales, Orchidaceae. The record is from RefSeq and is a predicted model, not a curated record. The transcript has 5 exons.